GAGUCACGUAGCAAUACGUGGCAUACGGCUCAGUAACACGUAGUCAACAUGCCCAGGGGACGUGGAUAACCUCGGGAAACUGAGGAUAAACCGCGAUAGGUCAUAAUAUCUGGAAUGAUUUCUGGCUAAAAUCUAUAUGGCCCCUGGAUUGGACUGCGGCCGAUCAGGCUGUUGGUGAGGUAAUGGCCCACCAAACCUAAAACCGGUACGGGCUCUGAGAGGAGAAGCCCGGAGAUGGGCACUGAGACAAGGGCCCAGGCCCUAUGGGGCGCAGCAGGCGCGAAAACUCUGCAAUAAGCGAAAGCUUGACAGGGUUAUUCUGAGUGAUCUCCGCUAAGGAAAUCUUUUGGCACCUCUAAAAAUGGUGCAGAAUAAGGGGUGGGCAAGCCUGGUGUCAGCCGCCGCGGUAAUACCAGCACCCCGAGUGGUCGGGACGAUUAUUGGGCCUAAAGCAUCCGUAGCCGGUUCUACAAGUCUUCCGUUAAAUCCACCUGCUUAACAGAUGGGCUGCGGAGGAUACUAUUGAGCUAGGAGGCGGGAGAGGCAAGCGGUACUUAGUGGGUAGGGGUAAAAUCCGUUGAUCCAUUGAAGACCACCAGUGGCGAAGGCGGCUUGCCAGAACGCACUCGACGGUGAGGGAUGAAAGCUGGGGGAGCAAACCGGAUUAGAUACCCGGGUAGUCCCAGCUGUAAACGAUGCAGACUCGGUGAUGAAUAGGCUUCGUGCCUCUUCAGUGCCGCAGGGAAGCCGUUAAGUCUGCCGCCUGGGGAGUACGGUCG
Molecule: ribosomal RNA, 779 nt
Filed under: uncultured archaeon
Lineage: Archaea
Description: bacterial SSU rRNA
Rfam family: Archaeal small subunit ribosomal RNA
Source: RNAcentral